Molecule: long non-coding RNA, 2253 nt
Organism: Daphnia pulicaria
Lineage: Eukaryota; Metazoa; Arthropoda; Branchiopoda; Diplostraca; Daphniidae
Exons: 8
Source: RefSeq, a predicted model, not a curated record
UUCCCGCGUCGAGAAUCUGAAAUCGAAUCGAAACUUCGAAAGCUAUCAUAUUUAUUGUGUUGUGGUGGUGUUGGACACCUGCAUUCCUGUUGGUAUUUGGUAAUAACCGAAGAAAAGAAACUCGAGAUUGCUUGAUCUUCGUAUGACGGUUUUAUGCAGUAUUUCUUAUUUAGACUGAUGUAAAAUAGAGAGGACACCGACAGUAAUUUUAAUUCUAUAAGAUUCAAUUCUGUUGGACACAAAGUGCAUUACCAAAUUAAUUUUAGUUGAAUGAAUUGAAUUUUUUAAUGAGGAAAUUGGUGGCUCAUAACUACAACUAUUACCUUGAAUCCCCAACAACUGUGACAGAAUCAGUAUAUUUUUAUGCACAUCCACUGCUUCAUGACAAUGUGUUACCAUAAUUAUUGCUCAUUUUUUUCUCUUAACUACAAAAUUCUUAAUUUUUUAAUUAACAGAUUAGCAAGAACCAAUAAAUAUAGAAUGUUUUACAUCAAAUAUAAAUGCAAAUAUUUCAAAAAGGAUGUUAAACCUGUCCAACCUGACUGGGAAUGCAUAUAGCAUACUUCAGUUUUAUUCAAUCUCGAGAGGCCUAUAGGUCUGAACUCCAUUUCAGAUUUACCCAUCCUGCAACUGAAUAACAACUAACAGGCAAUGAUACAGUAAUAAGGCUAUCAAUCACUGGGAGUUCAGAUUGCAAAAUGGAACUUUUUUGUACAGAUGUUGAAACCGAAUUAAGUUAGCCUAUUUACGAAAAGCUUGCAAUAUUACAAGAACAUUUAAGUUUUAAUUAAUGUUAAAAACCACCAGUGCUGGUAUCACGUCGCCUUUCUACAACCGGCACGAUGACCAGCAUUACUUUGAUAGACUAAGUCGUUUACGAAGUUAAAAAAAAAAACUACUUCGGCGAAAGUACCAACGAUCACCAAACAGAAAGAACGACUCACGAAUUAAUGCAAUUUAUCAUGGCAUUGAUGUCGGUCUUUGAGGAACGACAACCGGUAGCAGCAACAGCGGCCCGAUCCUUAAAAGUGUUCUCCAGGUCAACUGCAACUGCCGUCAACUUAUUUGCCCGCUAAGUGCCGCCGAUUAUUUGUUUGGCCGUUUGCAUCGCAUCGGACUUGAACAUCACCGCAAUGAACCGAAACAAGGGUGCUUUUUUUCUUGCCGAAGAUAUCCUACCGGGAAAUAAGGAGUGUUUUAUCAGAGCGGUCCUAGUUCGUUCCCAGUCAAUCCAGUUGAACAAAUUGCGUUGCAACCGACAACUUGUGGUUAUUCCGUGGAAGUGGUUAUUCUGAUUUGGAAUUCGAUAAAGUGCCGUCGAGUUUGAUCAAAUCAUUCGUUUCGGCUGAAGAAGAUCUCGGUUCCUGAUCUCGGAUGACCUGGAUCAGCUCGCGUAUUUCGUCCAGGAGCUACACGCCUGCCUGAACAGGCUAUAAAAUUGCAUCCUUCAAGCGAGCCUUCAAGUUGUUCUGCCGAACUUGACUGCUGUCUAGCAAAUAAUGUUUGUUCAUUCAGUUACUCCGCUGCCAUUGCCACAUCAUAGCAACCCAAACAAGAAACGGAAAUAUUUAACCAGAAAUUACUCCACAGACCACAUCCUUUGAAGGCUAUCGAUUGCCAAUGGGAUACAUCUAAGGAGUGUGCACACGUAUUAAAGGAUCACGUUGCCGUUUCAGUUAGACACUUCGACAAUUGCACCAGUACGCCCUCCUAAUACUGAACACUGAAGCACCAAAAUUAAAUUUUUUCGAUUAUUUCUUUACGAUUGUAGAAUGGAGAAAAUGAUUAAAGUAUUGAUUUCGGUAUUCGUCGUAGCAGUCUUACUUGAAACAACAUUGGCCUGUGAGUGCGAUUACAACGUCGUUUACGAGGGUCACAACGGUAACAACCGCGGCAGCGGCUGCUAUAUGGUGAGGCCAGCAAGUCAAGGCAUGGCUUGUCAGUGCCGUCCUGUCGGAUAUGCCUUCAUAUGCAAAGGUCAUCAAGUUGGUUGCCAGAACCCCAAUCACUAUCUGUGUCGUUAUCCCGAUACGUCAAAAGAGGCAUGCAUUUUCGCCAAUGGAGACUGCGGUGGUUAUUAAUCCACCUUAUAAUUCGACUAAUUUGCGAGCGUUGUGAUCAUUUCGAAUUUUUAUUACCACAUUAAUCAACUUAUCCACACACACUGAUUAGAAAAUAGAUACUCUCAGCAGUCAAAUUUUUCAUUUGGUCAUAAUCUUUCUGUCCCAAUAUACAACAAACAUUAGUUCACUU